CGCUGCAGUUAAUCGUAUAUUAAAAAAUAGACAGGUUUUGGAAUAAAAGUCGUCUCUGGUAAUUCCAGUUCUAUGAGAGGGCUUGUUUAUUAUAAAAUUCCGCUCGUCUGCGAUAGCGUAUGCCGAUAAUAAUGGUGUGGUAUGGAACAGCUGUGAUCCGAGGACCGGACAUCGAAUAUGACGGUGAGACAUACUGCAUGGACCUCUCCAGCUUUCGAUAGUCAGUUGCUGUUCCCAGGAAUCCAAUGUUUGCUAAAAGAAAUUUAAAUAUAUAAUUAAUAAAUUAUUAUUAUUACUUUAUUAAUAUUUAAGAAUGCAUGUGUUUGCAAUUGUAAACAAAGGCUUUUGUUGUAAUUUUGUGUGUAAUUUUACAAAAAAUAAAGAGGUGGCGUAAUGGUGAGCAAGCCCGACUUGUAAUCUAAUGGUAGUGGGUUCGAGUCCUGCCCGCGCCAGAACUUCAUUGUUAAGUUUUUUUUAUGUUCUUUGUUCACUUGACAAAUAUUUUAUAUUAAAUGGAAUUAGAAGAUUUUUUACUCAAUUUUAAAGAAUAACGAUCAUAUAUUAAUCCAGAACAAUUAUGACAAAGCUUUCUUGUAAUUUUACAUCAAUUAAACAGGUGGUGUGAUGGUCAGCAAGCCCGACUUGUAAUCUAAAGGUAGUGGGUUCGAAUCCUGCUCGUGCCAAAAUUUUAUUGUUAAGCUUUUUUUAUGUUCUUUGUUCACUUGACAAAUAUUUUAUAUUAAAUGGAAUUAGAAGAUUUUUAAAUUAAUUUUAAAGAAUAAAGAUUUAAUAUAUUUAUCCAGAACAAUUAUGACGAUGCUUUCUUGUAAUUUUACAACAAAUAAAGAGGUGGCGUAAGGGUGAGACAUUCUGCCCUAUAACUCAAAGAAGCCGAGUUCGAAUCCUACUCCCGCCCCAAAUCAUUCGUUGGAUUUUUAUUUUGUUUAUUUAGUUAAUUUUUUAUUUUUUAAUUAUAUACUAAAAAAAUAAAAUAGUUUGAAACACAAAUUUGGGAAAACGCAAUGCAUUUCAGAACGAUUUGAAAUCAGAGCUUUCGGUUAUAGGCACAAGCUUUUUCUAUGCACUUAGUUACCGUUUGAAAGUGCAUUCUACUUGAAGUUAAGUUAAUUAUAUGCAAGGGCACCUGAUGGUCUAGAGGUGAAGAUCAAUGACCGAUAACCCGGAGGAACUGAGUUUCGAGACCGCCCGCGAUCGAUCCCCACCCCCACUCACAGUAAGUAAAAAUAAUGACUAAUAUAUAAUAAUGAUAUUUGAUAAAUUGAUGUGAAUUAAAAAUGUAAUAUGUUAAGAUAUUAAUAUAAUUAAAGGCUUAAAGGCUAUAGGCUUUAAAGCUACUAAUGAGUAAAAAUAAAUAUAUGUAUUUAUAAAAUAGUAUUAACUCUCACAAUCAAACUAACAAAAUUUAACCUCUCUCAAUUAUAAGCGGAAACGGAAGCGUGUAGAGGGAUGAAAAUAAUGUUAAUAUAACAGGCUGUAAAAUCGCUACACUGUUAACUGAUACCUUGUUAACUGAUACUGUUAAAAUACCAAUUGAUACUGUUAACUGAUACUGUUGUUAGUUAAUUGCGGAUAAAUGCGCUAAAGUUUCCGGAUAAUGGUUAAAUAAUGUUAAUGUCCCGGUAAAUGUUAAAAUAACAUUGGAAAAAUAACAGGAGGAAAGAGCAGGUAGAGUAACAUAGAACAGUAUGUUAGGAAUUAACAGUGGAAUUAAAAAUAGAAACAUAAAAAAAA
This is a long non-coding RNA of Drosophila ananassae, 1752 nucleotides long. RefSeq lists it as uncharacterized. The record is from RefSeq and is a predicted model, not a curated record. NCBI's taxonomy places the organism in Eukaryota, Metazoa, Arthropoda, Insecta, Diptera, Drosophilidae. The transcript is spliced from 2 exons.